RNAcentral lists this long non-coding RNA (1117 nucleotides) under Erythranthe guttata (spotted monkey flower). RNAcentral's name for it is "long non-coding RNA (EGUT_LNC001917)". Lineage: Eukaryota; Viridiplantae; Streptophyta; Magnoliopsida; Lamiales; Phrymaceae. The record is from RNAcentral.
ACGGUUACCUUAGACUGGAGCACCUAUUUAAUGUGGGGAUUGAAGUGGCAGAAGGUAAGACCUAGAGAAAAAUCCUAAUAUUCAAAACCUGAUCCAUCUCUUCUGUGAGUUGGCUCUGUGGUGAGUGGGUGAGUUGCUGAGUGCCUCGUUUUCUUGGUCUUACCUCUGAUCUGAGUGUGUUAGGGUUAGGGAGGGAGUGAGGGUGUGAGAGAUCUGUUCUCUGUUGGUGCAAUCUUAGUCUGCGUAUGUGUAAGCCUUGAGAUCUCUGUGAAUCUCUGGUGUGAAUCGGUUUAGAAGACUGAGCUAUGCUUUAUUCUAUAUCAUCUUUCAAUCUUUCUUUCUUAUUUGUUUAUUUAUGAUUUAUUCAUCUUACGCUUUUCUGAGUUGCCUAAGUUUCUUCAAGUGGAAUCAUAACACUAUGUACUUGUCUUUCUUAUUUGUUUCGACUGAAAUUCUGUAAACUUUCAAUUUUUUAAGGGGGAAAAACACAUUUCAUCAGAUUCGAGAUGUGGCCCAGCGAGCUAUGGAUGAAAGAUGUUGUAUUUAUUUAGUUAUCUCUAAGCUUCUAACCAGUAUUAUAUAAACAGAGUGGGUAUACAAACUGACUUUGACAUCCUUUUUCGGAUAGGCGAUGAUCUCUGGUUCCUAGUAGAUGGUAUAGACCGAGUGUUGACUAAUUAUCUCGACUUCUCAUUUCAAAUAAAUUUCAGAGAAAAAUAUGUUUAAUUUGUCUUAAACAUUGAUGAAACUUGUACGUGUACAAUGAUUAAUAUUGUGGAAUUUAAUUUCUGCAGUGAAGAAUGGAACUUUUAGAAAGUUGUGAUGGUGAGGCACCAACAAAGUCCAUCUUGCUCGGCACCCAUGGAUGAUGACAACCCUUGAUUUCGAGUUGUCGAAAAUGAAGAAGCUUGUUUUUACUAAAACUUUACCUUUAAAUAUUCUGCUCUUAUUAGGAGGAAUGAGAAUUUCGAGGUUGCAACCAUUGAUGCUUCAUGUGGUCCGAAUUCCGAUUAAUUAUGUCAUUUGUUACAUUUUAGAAAUGUGGUUUGGAUUAGGAUUGCGUUCCGGAUUCGAAUAUAUAUCUACGCCAUUUUAUUUAUAUUUUGGAAUAUCUUGG